Non-coding RNA from Mastomys coucha (southern multimammate mouse), 595 nucleotides. The record is from the annotation of a RefSeq genome assembly. NCBI's taxonomy places the organism in Eukaryota, Metazoa, Chordata, Mammalia, Rodentia, Muridae.
AUUUGCAUAAGUACUUCUUCCUUUCAGUGUUACUGCCCUUAAGAGUACUAUAAGAAGGUCUUUCUCUGGACUGUGUCAUGAUCCACACAAACUCAGGGAAAGACCGAAGAUGGUGUCCAUACCUCAACUCCUGGGACUUCUGUUUUUCUGGAUUUCAGCCUCCCGAGGUGACAUUGUGCUGACUCAGUCUCCAGCCACCUUGUCUGUGACUCCAGGAGAGAGAGUCAGUCUUUCCUGCAAGGCCAGCCAGAGUAUUAGCAACUACCUACACUGGUAUCAACAAAAAUCACAUGAGUCUCCAAGGCUUCUCAUCAAGUAUGCUUCCCAGUCCAUCUCUGGUAUCCCCUCCAGGUUCAGUGGCAGUGGGUCAGGGACAGAUUUCACUCUCAGUAUCAGCAGUGUGGAGCCGGAAGAUGUUGGAAUUUAUUACUGUCAACAGAGUAACAGUUGGCCUCCCACAGUGAUGCAGACCAUAGCAAAAACCACCAGGAAAGCAGAAGUGUCAGUCUGUGAUACUUCAGUUGUUUCUGGUGGUGCUUCAAUGUUGAAAAUGUUCCACAGAUGCAGCCAGAUGUGUGUUUACAGAACUAAGUGA